This 4274-nucleotide long non-coding RNA is filed under the name Homo sapiens (human). Its description in RNAcentral is "HSALNT0366516". Lineage: Eukaryota; Metazoa; Chordata; Mammalia; Primates; Hominidae. The record is from RNAcentral.
CUGCCUCCCGCGGCGGGCCGGGUCUCCAGGGAGGACCUGAGUUUUUCUUCACCCAUGGUCAGGGAGGCGCCAUCGCCCUGGCUUUGGGGCUGGGGCCUCCGGGGAGGUUCCGGUAGGGGCGUUGGAGAGGCCGCUCUUUUUGCAAGGCCCGAGAUGGCGGGCCCUGCGCAGGCCGCCCUAUUCCGCGCCCUCAGGGCGUCAGUAUCCGCCUGAGGCCGGAUACCCACUCUGGGCUCGGAUACCCGCGCUGGGCCCGGAGCAUCCUCGGCGCUGCCCUCCCAGAGCCCCGCAGAGGCUGAGGUGGCGCGGGGGCGGCCCCGGCUCCGCGAGAAGAGGCGGCAGCGAGGGCUGGAGGACCCGGGCUACGGGGCUCCGGGGCGUCUGGCCUGGGUGGGACUGAGCCCAUCCAGGGACUGGGACUCCGGGGUUCUGGUGUAGGUGGAUCCCGGGCAGGCUCAGGACCAAGACCCUCUCCUUCCACCAAGGAGCGCCCAGAGGCCGGCGGGAGCUCCAGGUUCACCUCCUCCUCCUCCAGGAAAUCCCACUUCCAGCUGGAUGUCUGGAUGAACUCCUGAAAGCUGCUGAGUGUCCUGCAGCAGGUGAGCUGUGGCCAGAGCCCAAGGAUGAAGGGGACUCCCUCACUCUGUGACUGUGAAGAGGAAGCCUGAGGUGUAGCAGGCCCAGGCCCCAGAAGUAUGGAAAAAAUGAGCCUUUCAUCCCAAAGAUGCAGCCGACUUGAUUGUGGUGGAUGAGCUUUUUGAUGUGCUGCUGGAUUCUGUUUGCUAGUAUUCUAUUAAGAAUUUUUGCAUUGAUGUUCAUCAGGGAUAUUGGCCUGGAUUGAGCAGGCCAUUUCCAAUCCAGAGGAAGACCUUCUAGAAGAAGUGAUGGGUGGGAGAGUGCUGACAUACUAUGCAAAGCUACUAUUUGGAGUUGGACACGAGUGCAUGUGACCUUGUGCCACAGCGGGAAUGUGAGCUGGAUGACAAAUGGAGAUUUGGACUUGUGAUAAUUGGCCUCUGUGUCAUUGUGUGGAAGACUGACUGGUCCCUUUAUUUCCUGUAGCUUGACUACCACACAAAUUAAUCCACUCAAAUGUUGGCAAGUGGAGCAGAGUCCCAGGACAGUCUGCAAUCUCUACAGGUACAGAAACACCCCCAGUUCAAGGAUCUUCACACCUGGAUUUAGGCCUACACCUGCAACUACCCCAGGCCAGUUAUCCAGGCAGUGACUUUCUGUACAGCUACAGUCACCUCUGGACACCUGCGGAGACUUUAAAAAUUUCCAGAAGGUCAGGAAUUUUUGGAGACCUUUCUUAUGGCUACGUUGCCUGCAAAGGUGAAUCAAUAAGCUUCUGAACUGACUUAGAAAAUGUUGCAGAGACUCUUGUGAACAGAUAGACCCUCUCCUGCCACUCCAGAUAGACGUAUCCGGGUCACACACACCUGAUUUAACAACAUCUCAUUAUCUCAGAUGCUGUAAAGGACUGUCAGUAGGCCUUCAGCCAGGAGGUGGUGCUUCCAAAAGACUGCCAGCUGUGGUGGUAGUGGUGAGAUUUGGACUUGCCUUAUGUUACCCAUGGGAGGCACUCUGGUGUCUCAGGAAAUAGGUGGAGCCAUAGAGCUUCUAAAAGUUUCUUCUGUUAUUUGUGUUAAUCUACCAGGGUAGGUGGUUGAGCAAAACCAAGUGGGAACUAGGUCAGGUAAGGUGAUGCUCUGGCUCUCUAUGUGUGGGACAAGCAGUGGAUCCAGUGGGAAUUGGAAGGCAGUUCUUGGGCCACUGGAGUAAUUUUCCAGAGAGAAGUGAAGCUGUCUCUGCCUCUGUACAAGGAGAGUCCAUAUGAAGAAUGGGGAGUAGCAGCUUGGUAGUAAGCCCCAUCCAGCUCCCACACACUUGGCAAGGCAGGUCUCACACCCACAGUGUUCCACUGGGAGUAGCUAGCUAAGUUUCAAGAAGUCUGAGCUCAGAACUCAAAACUGACCCAUACCAUAAGCCUCUCCUAUGGAGACAGCAACUGCAACCUUCAGGCCACACCCUUCCUGAUCCACCUACAGAGCAGGGUCCCCCAGCUCCUGUGCUUGCUGCUGCAGCACACUUCCCACUCACCUCUCAGUUCUGGCCUGGGGAGUUUGUCCCCAGUCAAGAUUAUAUCACACAUUUCAGUUGGGAGGUUGUCUCAACCUGUGACCACCAUCUGAGUUAGCUGGCAGACUUCUAGGAGGUCCUGUCUGAGGUAGAAUCAGAAAUGGCUUCCCUCCAUUCUACCAGAAACUGGGAAUGUGCUGGAGAUUCAAAGCACAUCCCAAUGCCACUCCUCAUAUACUCACCACUCUUCCCUAAAUCAGCUCCAGCGCUGAGUAGGGUUAAGGCCUUCCCUCACGGCCUGGAUUGAUAGGUUUCCCAGUGGAAGUGUAUAUCUUAGAGUCAGUUUACCCUCCUGUCACACCCUGGAAACUUACAAUUUUCUGCCUAGCUUAUGGUGUAAGCUGCAUCCUGCUGUUUCUUUCAAAUGGUCUGUGGCUUUUUUCAAUUUUCCUGUUAAAUUCCUGUGUAGCUUCUUGAAAGAAAGUUCACAGUGUGAGUCUCUACACAGCAUUUUGUCUUUCCAAGUGCAAGAGGCAGACUAACAAUGCCUUCAGUCCACCAUCUUGGAAAACAAAAGUAACAGUUUUCUCAUUUUUAAAAGUUUUGUUAAGAUCUGUUAAUGAUUCACAAAGAAAUAGUACUUGGGUAUAUUUGAAAUUAGUAUUUAUUCAUUUAUGUUGAUAAGUGAAAAUGCAAGAUGGUUAUCAAGAUGGAAGUACUUAAUAUGUAUAUUUUAAUAUUCUUAGAUGCAGAUAACUUCACUUUUGAUGUAUUUUUAUUUUGUCUCAGUUUCAUUUCAACUUACGUUUAAGGGGUUCUUGAUAAUCUGACAUGAUAAGUGGUGUUGGAAUUGGCAUUAAAAUCCACCAUGCUCUACAGCACUUCAUCCUUCUUCGGCAGGCACCAAUUUGAUCUUCUACUACUUUGCAGACAUCUCUUCUGCAAACACCAGACAAACUGAGACAAUGAACUUCCGCAGGACCCAAAGCACCUCUUACUGCAGGAAAGAAGAUCCAGUGAGAUAGUUAGUCCACAAAUGGAAUGUCAAUCCAUAAACACACUUAAGUAACAGAAUAAAUUUAGUAUGAGCGUUUUUAUGUGGGAGCUCUUGAAAUGGUUGCUGCUCAUAUGUCAGAGACAUAUGCAGUUUAAGAAAGGUAGCAGUUCCAAUCCUGGUUUGGCCCAACAGUCACUGCAUUUUUGGUGGGGAAAAGGGAUGUGGGAGGAGAUGGUACAUCUUCAUCUUUUUCUCUGGGUUUUCUGUCAGAAAGGGAUGUUGCUUACUCCAGUGGCAAAAAAUGCCAGUGUCUUCUGCCAGAGUGGGUUACUGAGGGCCAUGGUGGUUCCACCUUGUGGCUGAUACAGAUAGUCCCUUUCUGCUUUUGUUUCUAGCCAAAAAAGAUGUUUCUCGCAUCUCAGGUAUGCAGACUUCAGCAGCUGUUUUUUCUAUAUGGCUAUUUUUUUUUUCUUUCACUCUCUCUUUCUCUCUUUUUUUUUUGUUGGCUUCACUGUGUUGCCAUAGUUUCUUAAAUGGUCCCUUGAACCCUCCCAGAGCUAUUUUGGUUUGUACAUAACUAUCUAUAUAUUUUUUUCUUGGGGGGAGUGUGUAGAGCUAAAGGCUGGUAUAUCCUGCUCCUGCUCCCCGAAAGUGACGUUAUUCCCCCAAGCUAAUAUUUCAGGCUUUCAAUUUAUUCAUGCUUUCAUCUGUUUAAACAUAAGUAGAAAUUACUUUUUCUCUCCACAUUUAGAUUUGAUCUAUCUACUUUAAUUGCUAAUAGUGUCUUAGUCAUAGAAUAGAUUAGUUAGAAAAAAGUGUUUUUGACAUUAUAAAUGAUUCUUUCAAUUUGUGUCUAAAAGUGGAAAAUACUAGAAAGCUUAACAUUUAUUAUUGUAUUCAGACCAGUAUUUCCUCCAGAUGACCUUUAUUACAACAAAGAUAAUUUAAUGAAGAUCUCUCUAAUGGUAAAGCUGAUGGCUUUGUGCUAUUACAAUAUCCUUCAAAUAAAGUGACGAUCUGGUGGAAAGAACAACUAAAGCAAGGAUUAGGAAGAAAACAGUUAAUACCUUCAUUUUGGUCUCACUCUGCAUUAAGAGUUUUCAUUGUGUUAAGGAUUUAUUAUACAUUAAGUAAUUUAAUGUUCAUUUAAUAAUAAAUGGAUCCUAUUAAAUAUGAUUUUUAAAAUUAUAAUCAC